Molecule: ribosomal RNA, 269 nt
Filed under: Clostridioides difficile
Lineage: Bacteria; Bacillati; Bacillota; Clostridia; Peptostreptococcales; Peptostreptococcaceae
Description: partial 16S ribosomal RNA
Rfam family: Bacterial small subunit ribosomal RNA
Source: RNAcentral
UUACUGGGCGUAAAGGGUGCGUAGGCGGUCUUUCAAGUCAGGAGUGAAAGGCUACGGCUCAACCGUAGUAAGCUCUUGAAACUGGGAGACUUGAGGGCAGGAGAGGAGAGUGGAAUUCCUAGUGUAGCGGUGAAAUGCGUAGAUAUUAGGAGGAACACCAGUUGCGAAGGCGGCUCUCUGGACUGUAACUGACGCUGAGGCACGAAAGCGUGGGGAGCAAACAGGAUUAGAUACCCUGGUAGUCCACGCUGUAAACGAUGAGUACUAGG